GUAGAAGUAGUAAUAGUGUAGAAGUAGUAGUAAUAGUAUGAUGGUGGUAGUGGUGAUAGAAGUAGUAAUAGUAGUAAUAGUUAUAGCAAAUAGUUAUAGCAGGUGAGAAAAAUUAAUGAUAAUAAGAUGUUAAAGUGAGUAAGACGUUUUUUUCUUCACUGUAAUGAAAAAGGUGUUAAGAUUUUACACAUAACUACUAGACGAGAGACACAAAAAAUAUAUACGAUCAUAAUUAAUAAUAGCAAUAAUAAUAAUAAUAAUAAUAAUAAUAAUUAUUAUACUUCGUCUUUCGAUACUUGUCGAACAAUCGCUCGUCCUUAAUUCAACUACAGAUUAAGAAAGUUUAGCUUCCUUUAAGUACGUUUAAGUCUCACUGGUUGGACAGGAAAAAGAAAAAGGGGAAAA
Molecule: long non-coding RNA, 405 nt
Organism: Apis dorsata (giant honeybee)
Lineage: Eukaryota; Metazoa; Arthropoda; Insecta; Hymenoptera; Apidae
Exons: 3
Source: RefSeq, a predicted model, not a curated record